Molecule: ribosomal RNA, 152 nt
Filed under: Microcystis sp. KR_E
Lineage: Bacteria; Bacillati; Cyanobacteriota; Cyanophyceae; Chroococcales; Microcystaceae
Also listed under: 1 other name
Description: partial 16S ribosomal RNA
Rfam family: Bacterial small subunit ribosomal RNA
Source: RNAcentral
UGUACACACCGCCCGUCACACCAUGGAAGCUGGUCACGCCCGAAGUCAUUACCUCAACCGCAAGGAGGGGGAUGCCUAAGGCAGGGCUAGUGACUGGGGUGAAGUCGUAACAAGGUAGCCGUACCGGAAGGUGUGGCUGGAUCACCUCCUUA